UACGUAGGUGGCAAGCGUUGUCCGGAUUUAUUGGGUUUAAAGGGUGCGUAGGCGGCUUUGUAAGUCAGUGGUGAAAUAUGGCAGCUUAACUGUCAGGGUGCCAUUGAUACUGCGGAGCUUGAGUACAGAUGAGGUAGGCGGAAUUGACGGUGUAGCGGUGAAAUGCUUAGAUAUCGUCAAGAACACCUAUAGCGAAGGCAGCUCACUAAGUCAUAACUGACGCUGAUGCACGAAAGCGUGGGGAGCAAACAGG
This 253-nucleotide ribosomal RNA is filed under the name uncultured bacterium. Its description in RNAcentral is "partial 16S ribosomal RNA". It matches the Rfam family "Bacterial small subunit ribosomal RNA", at positions 524 to 776 of the family's 1533-position model. The record is from RNAcentral.